Long non-coding RNA from Saccostrea cuccullata (small rock oyster), 417 nucleotides. RefSeq lists it as uncharacterized. The record is from RefSeq and is a predicted model, not a curated record. NCBI's taxonomy places the organism in Eukaryota, Metazoa, Mollusca, Bivalvia, Ostreida, Ostreidae. The transcript has 4 exons.
GUUUAUUUUAGAAAUCUUCUCACUUGGUAUGAAGUGCAAGUGAUCCCCUUUUGGUGUCUGUUAAUUUUUAUCUUUUUAAGAGGAAUACUUUUAAGGCUGAACAGGAUCCUGAAGUGAGGAGGACUCCCUCUCUCAUUGAACUGCAUACAGCAGCAGAAAGCAGGAUUUCAGUUCCCCUUUGAUUCAGAAGAGGAAUAUGAGAAGAGUCUAUCCCUGUCUGUGUUUUGCAUGUGUUAUGUUUCAAAAGUGCAGAAGAAAUUUAAGACUGACUAGGAAUUCUAAGUGAGGAAGAGUCCUUUUCCCAUUCCGCUGCAGCCAUGAGGAGAAUACUUGCAGACGGUUAUGCUGGCAUUGAUCCUGUUUCCAAAAGCAGAUCAACAUGAUUCCUCAAGACUCCAAAGAGAUCAACUAUGGGAC